This 301-nucleotide ribosomal RNA is filed under the name uncultured Pseudomonadota bacterium. RNAcentral's name for it is "bacterial SSU rRNA". It matches the Rfam family "Bacterial small subunit ribosomal RNA", at positions 29 to 351 of the family's 1533-position model. Lineage: Bacteria; Pseudomonadati; Pseudomonadota. The record is from RNAcentral.
AACGAACGCUGGCGGCAUGCCUAACACAUGCAAGUCGAACGGAUGGUCGCAAGACCAUUAGUGGCGGACGGGUGCGUAACGCGUGGGAACCUGCCUUGAAGUUCGGAAUAACUGCGGGAAACUGCAGCUAAUACCGGAUGUGGCCUGCGGGCCAAAGGGGAAACUCGCUUCAAGAGGGGCCCGCGUCCGAUUAGCUAGUUGGCGGGGUAACGGCCCACCAAGGCGAUGAUCGGUAGCUGGUCUGAGAGGACGACCAGCCACACUGGAACUGAGAUACGGUCCAGACUCCUACGGGAGGCUG